Molecule: long non-coding RNA, 227 nt
Filed under: Mytilus galloprovincialis (Mediterranean mussel)
Lineage: Eukaryota; Metazoa; Mollusca; Bivalvia; Mytilida; Mytilidae
Source: RNAcentral
AAAUUGACAGUUGGACCCCUGAUGAUGGCAGAUCUGUCAUAAUAACUAGAUCUAUUGAAAAGGAAUUAAAAUAUAAAUAUAUCAAUAUAAACAUGAAUAAUUUUCAUAUUUGAUUAUAUUCAAAUAAUGCAUCUUAAAAUGACAAUCCAAAGCUUAACUGCGGAAACACGAAAUUAUUUGUGUUGGGUCCUAUCAUGCAAUAUGGGAUGCGUGGUUGCAUGGGUAUU